GCGCCUGCCUCGCAAGUGCAAGGUCCCAAGUUCGAUCCCCAGUACCAAAAAACAAAAAACCAUAAAAACCAUUUAUAACUUUGAACAUAAAAAGAUUUAUUAGCCUUUUAAAUUCUUGCAGUCAUCUGAUCAUAGAUGCAGUAGAUUUUGAAAUAGACUCGGUCUUUGACCAUUUAAGGUGUAAUUGCUGUGUUUUCUAAGACUGAUUUUAGGCAGUUUUCUGUAUCGUGUACCAGGGACUUGUAAAUAAAAUGCCUUUUCUACUGUAAACGAUUACAGGUGUUGCUUGUGUUGAACGUGAAGGAAGCCUCAGCAGGGGCCGAGUCCGAGUGAGCGGCGCUGGCUUUCACCCCGGCUGAGUUCGAGUUCGCAGGACUGCUCCCCACGCCUAAGCGAGGAGAUUCGUCCCCUCCAGGAAUGCAGCGCCCGCUUCCCUCUCACUAGAGCUGAACCAGCGUGCGCGGAAGUGAAAAGGCAAAGGCCCCAAGGGCUGUGAGUUUCCCUUCCUGCUCCGCGCUCGCGCUUCCGGCCGCUGCCCUCAGCGGACGGGUCCUGCCCACCCUCCCCAGCUGCGGGGCGCGGCCCAGUGAGCCUUCCCCGAGUUCUCGCCCGAGAAGCGAGAAGCGGCCGCUGCCUUGGCGAUCGGAAGGCGGGGCCCGCUCAGCACCGUCCAGAACUCGCCUGGGCUCUGGCAGGCGGGGGGCGAGGCCGAGACUUGGCUGGGCUGUCCCUUCCGCCGGCCUCGGCUGGCAGCUCUUCCGGCGGCGGGCGAGGCAAGCGAGCUGCUGCUUCCUCUCACCGCCUUCCCACGCCCGCUCGCACCAGCAUCUCGCGGAUGGCGGAGGCCCGGCAGGAGAGGCUGUGGCAGGUUUAACUGGGCUCUGCAGCCCCCACCUCGCCGGUGCACGGCUUCCCCAGCGCAGGUCUGGGAUGGGGAAGGAAGGGAUCUAAAUGGCAGAUGCAGAGCUCACCAGGAGCUUUAAUCUGAGAAGAUCGUAGCACUUAAUGGGAUCGGUGGACAUUGCUGGAUUAUGAUUUUUUUUUUUUUUUUGGUACCGGGGGAUGGAACUCGGGUCCUUGCGCUUGCGCAGCAGGCGAUGAAACCACUGAGCGAAAUCCCCGGCCCUGGACUAUGAUUUUAACACUGGGAGAUCAAAUAAGCUUAAAAUCUGUUUGCCUCCUGAGUGCUGCGAUCACAGGUGUGGGCCACCACACCCAGCUAGUCUCUUUUCUGACACCGGAACGACCUUCGUACUUCAGCACAGGGGACUGCUGGAGGACUCAGACACCAGAGUUAGAGCUCCCGGGGUUCUGUCGCGCUGCGAGUCGGGUCACGGUGGUCACCACUGAGCUCGGAGGCCAGGACAUGCUGACUCUGGAAAACACAAUCGCCUUGGCCACCUCCCUUCCAGCUUCCUUCUAGUGUGCUGGUAAGCGUCUCCAUUUGCAUGUUUCCGUAACCACAGGAGAAGGCUUAUUUUGAUCAUCCCUAAAAAAACCAACUACAGUAUCCCAGGAGAGAAACAGUAACUUCUAGAAGCUGAAUGUCAAAUCCCAAUGUAGAUUUUCCAUAUCUUACUGGUGUCCGUUUGCUUUUCUUUUGUUUCUGCUGAACUGAAAUUAAAAAAAAAAAGUCCACUUCUGGGCCUUUGAUGUCAGCAAGGGUCACCUGAAACCAAGCAUGAGGUCAUUUUGUUUUAUGCAUCUUGGGUGAAUUGAGUCGAGCAGGGGCCUGCUGCUUAGAGGCCGUCCGCUGUGCAGUCUCGCUCCCACCCCAGCCAGUGCCACAGGUUGGGUGCAGGGUCCCGAAGCCUGGGCCCUGGGGAGACAGGAGGUGGGAUCGAGGGCUUCGGAAGGCUUCCUUAACAGCGGCUCUCAUUUGGCUGGCUCCGUAAACCCUUUGCAGAGCACCAAGGCGUCAGUGAUUACUGCUCACCUCGGGGAUGAAAGCACAGGAAGCAGAAUCCGUAGCAGCCGCUGUGGAUGCCGGGACAAACGGAAGUGGGCCCCAUCCCAGCCACUGGCCCUCGGGCUCACUGCUAGUGAGACACGAGCCACUCAGAGGGAGAACCGAGUCAGCCAUAGGAAAAGCCAGAUGUGUCCGAGCACACACAGCUUAAACGUACGAGAUAGCAGCAUGUGUUUGUUUCUGAACAUGAGGUCGCACUGUCCACUAGUAAGUCAUGUCCCGCAGAUGCCAGGUGCUAGGAUUAUCCAUGCCUCCCCUAACCGAGGAGACAGACUAAGAAGUGCAGGGCUCUCUCCUAAUUUCCCUAUUUAUCCCGGGGAAGGGAUGAGCAGCUAGGUGUAAUAAUUACCACCCAGAACCACAAAACCCGGCAGACAGUCGUGGGCAGCGGUCUGGUCCCAAGUUAUUCUGCCACCAGUUGCAAUUUGACGCCCCCUGGUGGGCUUGUCUGUCCAGCUUAAUUAAAUCAGGAUGGGCUUCUGGGUCCAUGCAGGGAAUCUCCCCAUGCGCUGGCAUCUGUCCGUGAGCCGCUGGAGAUGGCCCAAGGUCACCUUCUUCCUCCCUGCCCCUUAGGCUGGCAGUUGGCUGCUGGCUCCGUCUGACCCUUGCCAGCACCUAAAUCAAGACGACAGCCUUAGCUUGCCCUGUUCCGGGAGGAAGGGGAAUGGAUUCAGUGUUUCCAGGUCUGUUCAGUGAUUUAAACCUUGGGCGGGGAUUUAGCUCAGUGGUUCCGCGCCUGCCUUGUAAGUGAGUUGAACCUUCUGGGUGGAGUAUCAGGGCGUCGGGAGAGACAGCUUAGCUGUGCUGAGUGAGUGCCCAGCGCGUGGACAGUGACCACCUUGGCAGAGAUGGAAACCUGUGCUGGGCUUUGUGUGGCCCUGGUCGGCGUGGACACACUCAGGACUACCACACACCGUCCAUGUUUCUGCACUGGUGACCACAAAGGCGCCAUUACAGGGGCCCGCGAAGCUGUGCGCCCUGAGCGUCAGCAGAGCUCAGUCAGGAGGCCGCGUCGGCUGCUUUCCUCUGGGCUCCGGAUCCCGCCCGUUCCUGUCAGCUCUGUGCAGUACUCAGACCCUGUGUGAGCGCGGUCCAGCUACCAGAGUCGGGCGGAGGCUGCAGCCAGCUCCGCAAGCCGCCAGCCAGGGUGAGCUCGUGGGUCCUGAGCUGACAGCUCCUGGCCCUGGCACAUCGUCCUGUCUCUCCCACUGCUGUCUUUCCUCGGGGGACCUGUGUGGCACAGCAGUGGCUGAAACAUCACAAGAUCUUUGUCUCUGUUGAUGAACUGUACAUUGCAUAACCUUCUGUCUCUUCUUUAAAAACGUGUCAGGAAACAGCACAUACCAGAGUGUGGGAGAUGGAAUGGGGCUGCAGCGGGGCUCCGUGGCACAGCGCUGGCCUCACCAUGCCUGGGCCCUGGCCUCCAUCCCCAGAGCUCAGAAAAGAGCACACAUGAGCAGCCUUUAGCUUAAGAAACAGAACAUUCCCAGGCGCCCGCACCCCUGCUCGUCUGACCCCAUCCAUGCCGUAGGAGGUAGACAUUCUUUUGGACUUUUAUGAGUAAAUUCCCCUAUUCUUAUUUGUGGCUCUACUAUCUAUGUUGUAUCCCUAAUACAAUAUUUAGAUUUACUCGUUUUUGAACUUGUAGCAAAUGGAAUCAUACUGUAUGUAUUCUUCUGGGACUUCUCUUUUCUUAUGUUGUUUUUGAGCUCUUCAUCCCUGUUUACUGCAUGUAACCGUAUUUUGUGUUUUCACUGCUGUAUAGUAGUCCAAGUGCAAAUGUUUCAGUUAUCAGAGGUUUGGAUUGUUUUCAGCUUCUUGCUGUUACAGAGGAUGCUGCUGUGAACUUGCUGCCCAGUCAGAGCAUAAGCCAUGUGGGCAGGGCUCACGCCUGUCCUCUGCUGUCCCCAGUUUCUAGAACAGUGCCUCACCCAGGUGGGCCCAGUCAGCAUCAGAGAGCUCAGCACCUCCUUGUUCCUGUCUCCUGUGCGCAUGUGCAAGGAUUGCUCCGGGACCCCUGGGGUUCUCUGAGGCUCUUUUCAGAGGACAGAGUGUUUUCUCAUAAUUUGUCCUUUUCAUUCAGAUUUUUCCCAAUUUUAAAUUCUUUCCAGCUAUAUGAUAUCAUUGCUGCAAUAGCUAAUCAGGUUUCAUUUGUUUAUUUUUUAACAGUGUCUCCAUUUUAACCAGUGAUGUGCCACGAUACUGAUACAUAAAACCCACAGGAACAAUGGCUUUUGAGUGCCUCAGCAAUUUUUAAGAAUGUAAAGAGAUUCGGAGACCGAAAGCUUGAGAACCACUACUAUAAGAAGCUGGUUUUAGGGCCAGGGAUUUAGCUCAGUGGUUUCGACGCCUGCUGCGCAAGUGCAAGGACCCGAGUUUGAUCUCCGGUACCAAAAAAAAAAAAAGUGAGUUUUACUUGGUAAUGCCAACGUGUUUGCUAAAGUGCUUGUACCAGUUCCCACCCUGGUGGCAAUGGCUCAGAGUUCCCCAUGCCCCGUAUCUAGCACACACUUGCGCUUAGCUGUCUUUGACAUUUGCCAAUCAAAGCUAGGUGUGGUGGCACACACCUGUAAUCUCAACACUCAGGAGGCUGAGGCGGGAGGAUCGCCCUAAGUUUGAGCCCAGCCUGGGCUACACGGUGAGUUCAAGGCCAGCGUGAACUACAUAGCAAGACAGUGUCUCAAAAAACAAAACAAAACCUUUUGCCAAUUGGAUGGCUGUUAUAUAGUUUGCAGUUCCCUGUUUACGAGUGAAGUUGGUUUUUCACAUGAGCCCUCUUUUGUGAAAUUCCUAUUUAUGUGUCAUGCUCUUUUCCCCGUUAAGUUUUAUGUUUCUUUUUUCCUUAUUCAUUCAUGAUUUCUUUAUAUAUUCUGGAUAUCAGUCCUGUGUCAGCAUAACAUCUCACCCAUAUUUCCUCCCAGUUUAUGUGUUGUCUUUUGUACUUGUAUUGAAUACAUGAAUCAACUUGGAGAAACUUUACAUCUUUUCAGUAAUUGUGUCUUCCCGUGAAAAAGAGUAUGUAUCCCUCCGUUUACUAGCUCUUCUUAAUAUCUCUCAAUAAACAAUAAUUUUCUCUACAAAGG
This is a long non-coding RNA of Heterocephalus glaber (naked mole-rat), 5052 nucleotides long. The record is from Ensembl. NCBI's taxonomy places the organism in Eukaryota, Metazoa, Chordata, Mammalia, Rodentia, Bathyergidae.